AUCAUGAAGGACUUUUUAGCUGACACUCACAAGAGAGAGAACUCUGGAUCUGCACCAGCAAUGAGUACGAGCAUUGUAUUGAGUUGACGUGGCAACGGCACCCGUCGGACCCCCAGGAGCCUCAGUCCAGGACAACCCUUCCCCUCCCCUGACGUCCUGCCUCAAAGCUUGUUGAACAAUACCGUUCUGCAGGAAUGCCUGAGCGUGUUGAGUUUUCACAAGCUGUUCUCAACAACUGCAAUGUCCGUUUCAAUUGAUCCACACUCGAGCCUGAGUAGUUUGUUUAGCUCCAAAGCCAGAGGUGGGUCCCGUAUUGCAGACACAAGGAAAUAUAGCAGUAGAUAUGGUAAUACUAACAGUCACUGAUUGUGGACUUCACAACAAAUAUUACGAAGAAUAAAAAGUUUGAUAACUUGUUCCAUGCAGUAUGGGACUAACAGAGCGAAAGUGAAUAAUGGGAGAAAAUCUAGAAACAGUUGAAGAGCUAAAGUUCGAAGCCUAAGCUAUCCACGGGGGCUACUUCUGAUUUCGAUAGUAGUAGCAUUAUGGACCAUCCCAGUUUGUCCUCUUAGGCAUCCAAAAUGUCCAAAGUGAAUGUGCUUUUUACGCAGUUGCUGACAAAUAAACUUUGUAAUGAACACUCAUAGCACGAUGAAUAAAUCUGGCAUGGUUCAGGCGCAUAUUCUGCCCAACAUCGUUAACAAGGUGCUAAAGGUGUACCUAUGGGGGUUUGUUUUGAGCACUUCACACUCCAAGCCAAAACGGCCUCGCAUUGAGUCGAUGCUUGAGAAGGCGUUGAAAAAUGACAGCAGUUUUGUUGUGUGGUACAGUAUGCCCUUUGAUUCUCAACCCGAUGUUAGGUAGAACUCAAACUCGGCCCUUAGCAAUAUCAGCGAGGCUAGAAUGUCAUCUCUGCAUCUUGAGCUUCAGCAAACAUUAUUAGCCAACAAGACAAACACCGUUGAAGUCAAUGUCGAUGGCAAUCCCCACCCCUUCUUUCACAAAUACUACAACUCGCUCAAGAAAUUCAGCACGAAGACAUCUUGCAUCAGCCUAGCACGCCACCUAUGAACAUCUUCUCCCUUGUUGGCUACAUCAACACUUCGAACAGCGGAGCCUUGGUGAGUCCGACUUCCGUCACAGAUUUGAUGUUGCUUAGCAACAUUUCAAUGCCGGGCUUGGAAAACUUGUUCCAGACGAGUUGCUCAAGUGGAAAAGAUCUGAUACAGCAGAUAGAGGAGGCGUUGAGUGACUUUCUGUAAAUGUGACCGACCUCGAUAUGUUGAUCUCGAAUAAUGUGAAACUGACGCCUGAGGAGCAGUCUGCGAUUGACGCCAUUUAGCAGCAGCUGUUUUCUGACAUGCCCGGGUUUUACUUUGGCAUCUGGACUUGCACCAUCUCUGUCUGUAUCCCAUUAACGGCAGCCGCAGCAUUAACAACAACAGGUAGUAUUUCAGCCUCAUUCUGGGAAUGACCUGGACUUGCACCAUCUCUGUCUGUUUCCCUUUAACAGCAGCAGCAGCAUUAACAACAACAGGAAGUUUUUCAGCCUCCCUCUGGGAAAACAGGUCUUAAUGCAUGAGGAUAGUGUUGUCCCAGAAAAGCAUGUGAAGUUUGCUCAGGCAUGAGGAUAGUGUUGUCCCAGAAAAGCAUGUGAAGUUUGCUCAGGCAUGAGGAUAGUGUUGUCCCAGAAAAGCAUGUGAAGUUUGCUCAGGCAUGAGGAUAGUGUUGUCCCAGAAAAGCAUGUGAAGUUUGCUCAGGCAAAUCAGAGGCAACACUUUGUGAAAAAACCUUUUAACUUAAAAUUCCAUAAAAGCAGAAAAUGUCAUAACUGAUUAGUUGUGCAGACUGCACAGGCUAAUAUGGGACGGCACUUUAGGCUUAUGCAUUAAGCCCAGUAUUUAAAGAGUUUAGAGUUUCACAUUUAUUUCAUGUAACAUCAGUUCUUUUUCUGACCUUUUUUCUGUCCCUUAUCAGGAAUUUUGUGUUUUUAAAUUGGUCAAACUGAGUGAAUAAAUACAUAUAACAGUUGAUUUAAUAUAAGUUGAAAUUAUAAAGGGUCAAGACGUAUUUCCAUACAUUUUUGGGCUGAAAUUCAUAAAUGCGGAAAGUGUUGUCCUUGUUUAUCGUCUGCAGACUGCACAGGCUCAUCUGGGAUGACAGUGCAUGCACAUGCAUAAAGGCAUGUAUUCCCAGAACAAGGCUCAUAUAGUUCUAUAAACCUUCUCUAAUCUUUGAGGGAAAAAGCUGUGAAAAGUGUGUUUUUAAAUUGGCCAAGUGGGUAAAUAAAUACUGUAUCUAACAGUUUACAUCAAACCAGUUUUAAUCAUACAAGGUGAGGGCAUAGUUUUUUCUGUUUUUGGGCGGAAAUGCAGCAAAUUAAAGGGCGUUAUUGGAAUUACCUUGGACAUAUGUAUGUUACCUCUCAUGUAAAUAUGUACCUGUUGGUAUGUUCAUUAUUACCCUGUAACAAAUUAAAGAGGGGGUAUAUUGGAAUCACCUUGGCCAUAUUGUGUGUCUGUCAUUCAGUCUGUCUGUUCGUAAACACAAGCUUAUCCGCAGGCAUUCUUCUACUAAUGAUUCCAUGUAAAUAUGGACCAAGUAGAUGAUUUUGAAUUAAGAAUCAUUUAAAUUGUUUACAACUAAGGAAAAUGCAGAUUAAUUUCAAUUAUUGAACAUUUAAAUACAUUUCAAGAAAUAAUGUUACACUUAAGGAAUAUGAUUUUUAAGUGUACAUUUAACACUUAUGAUGUUUAAUUUGAUGUUCAAAAGUCUGUCAGUCUCUCUUAAAACAACAGAAGCUAAAGUUGAGAGAGAGAAAGAGAGGUUACAACAGCAGGACAUGCAGACAUUGCUGCUUCAGCUUCAAUAGCAUCAUCAGCAGCAGCAACAACAAUGUUCACAAUUAAGCAAUGAACAGUUUCAUGGACAACAGUCUUAAAAUGACAUCUUGUCAAUGAACAUGGCGCCCUUUCCGGAAUGAACAGUGCCACUGCGACUAACGUGACCCUUCAGAGAAAUGGGAUUCUUGGACGAAUAUCACCCCAGUAUCAAUCAGGGCUCCAACAACAGCCGCCCCCAGCCCAAGCCUUGUGAGCACUUGGGAAGGGGACACGAUGCCCACGAGUUCUCAACUCUAUUGUCCCGGGGCUUCUCCCAGCAGCAGUGGAACAACCUGGCGUCCCAGGUUAGCUGUGGAUUCAUGUUUCUGGCAUGAUGCAGGGUUUAAUACAAUCAUUUUGACCACAGAUGCCUACUGUUGCUCUUUCAUUACUUUUUCCAGGGGUGAACGGAAGACUGUCGUAACUCAUAUAAAAUAAAGAAGAAGAUACAACAGUUUUCCGUUCAGCCCUCGAAUUAUUUUGUAUAGAGGACUUAGC
Dreissena polymorpha is the source of this 3380-nucleotide long non-coding RNA. RefSeq lists it as uncharacterized. Lineage: Eukaryota; Metazoa; Mollusca; Bivalvia; Myida; Dreissenidae. The transcript has 4 exons. The record is from RefSeq and is a predicted model, not a curated record.